RNAcentral lists this ribosomal RNA (253 nucleotides) under uncultured bacterium. RNAcentral describes it as "partial 16S ribosomal RNA". It matches the Rfam family "Bacterial small subunit ribosomal RNA", at positions 524 to 776 of the family's 1533-position model. The record is from RNAcentral.
UACGGGGGGGGCAAGCGUUGUUCGGAAUUACUGGGCGUAAAGAGCUCGUAGGCGGUCUGUCACGUCGGCUGUGAAAACCCGAGGCUCAACCUCGGGCCUGCAGUCGAUACGGGCAGACUAGAGUUCGGUAGGGGAGACUGGAAUUCCUGGUGUAGCGGUGAAAUGCGCAGAUAUCAGGAGGAACACCGGUGGCGAAGGCGGGUCUCUGGGCCGAAACUGACGCUGAGGAGCGAAAGCGUGGGGAGCGAACAGG